GCCGAGGUGACGAAAUCGGUAUACGUGAGGGCCUUAAGAGCCCUUGUCCUUUUGGGCGUGCGGGUUCGAGUCCCGCCCUCGGCA
RNAcentral lists this transfer RNA (84 nucleotides) under Candidatus Blackburnbacteria bacterium RIFCSPHIGHO2_02_FULL_44_20. RNAcentral describes it as "tRNA-Leu". It matches the Rfam family "tRNA". Rfam says of the family: Transfer RNA (tRNA) molecules are approximately 80 nucleotides in length. Their secondary structure includes four short double-helical elements and three loops (D, anti-codon, and T loops). RNAcentral also lists the same sequence under 3 other names. The record is from RNAcentral. Lineage: Bacteria; Candidatus Blackburniibacteriota.